UGACGGGCACGAGGACCUUGCAAGGUAUGACAUACCAAAUAUAGUUAUCCUAUUACUUAUAAUGGGAGAGAAUUUAACAUUACAAAUAAUCUUAACCUUUUUUUCAAAAAGUCACUGAACCAUGAAAAUGAGGUCAAGGACAUUGGACAUGUGACUGACGGAAACUUCGUAACAUGAGGCAUCCAUAUACCAAGGAUGAAGCAUCCAGGUCUUUAACCUUUUAAAAUAUAAAGCUUUUAAGUAGUUAACUAACGCCGUCACU
Molecule: long non-coding RNA, 262 nt
Filed under: Mytilus galloprovincialis (Mediterranean mussel)
Lineage: Eukaryota; Metazoa; Mollusca; Bivalvia; Mytilida; Mytilidae
Source: RNAcentral